This 1245-nucleotide ribosomal RNA is filed under the name 'Pinus mugo' phytoplasma. Its description in RNAcentral is "bacterial SSU rRNA". It matches the Rfam family "Bacterial small subunit ribosomal RNA", at positions 154 to 1399 of the family's 1533-position model. The record is from RNAcentral. Lineage: Bacteria; Bacillati; Mycoplasmatota; Mollicutes; Acholeplasmatales; Acholeplasmataceae.
GAACGACUGCUAAGACUGGAUAGCAGACAAGAAGGCAUCUUCUUGUUUUUAAAAGACCUAUUAAUAGGUAUGCUUAGGGAGGAGCUUGCGUCACAUUAGUUAGUUGGUGGGGUAAAGGCCUACCAAGACUAUGAUGUGUAGCCGGGCUGAGAGGUUGAACGGCCACAUUGGGACUGAGACACGGCCCAAACUCCUACGGGAGGCAGCAGUAGGGAAUUUUCGGCAAUGGAGGAAACUCUGACCGAGCAACGCCGCGUGAACGAUGAAGUAUUUCGGUACGUAAAGUUCUUUUAUUAGGGAAGAAUAAAUGAUGGAAAAAUCAUUCUGACGGUACCUAAUGAAUAAGCCCCGGCUAACUAUGUGCCAGCAGCCGCGGUAAUACAUAGGGGGCAAGCGUUAUCCGGAAUUAUUGGGCGUAAAGGGUGCGUAGGCUGUUAAAUAAGUUUAUGGUCUAAGUGCAAUGCUCAACAUUGUGAUGCUAUAAAAACUGUUUAGCUAGAGUAAGAUAGAGGCAAGUGGAAUUCCAUGUGUAGUGGUAAAAUGCGUAAAUAUAUGGAGGAACACCAGUAGCGAAGGCGGCUUGCUGGGUCUUUACUGACGCUGAGGCACGAAAGCGUGGGGAGCAAACAGGAUUAGAUACCCUGGUAGUCCACGCCGUAAACGAUGAGUACUAAACGUUGGGUAAAACCAGUGUUGAAGUUAACACAUUAAGUACUCCGCCUGAGUAGUACGUACGCAAGUAUGAAACUUAAAGGAAUUGACGGGACUCCGCACAAGCGGUGGAUCAUGUUGUUUAAUUCGAAGGUACCCGAAAAACCUCACCAGGUCUUGACAUGCUUCUGCAAAGCUGUAGAAACACAGUGGAGGUUAUCAGUUGCACAGGUGGUGCAUGGUUGUCGUCAGCUCGUGUCGUGAGAUGUUGGGUUAAGUCCCGCAACGAGCGCAACCCUUAUUGUUAGUUGCCAGCACGUAAUGGUGGGGACUUUAGCAAGACUGCCAGUGAUAAAUUGGAGGAAGGUGGGGACGACGUCAAAUCAUCAUGCCCCUUAUGACCUGGGCUACAAACGUGAUACAAUGGCUGUUACAAAGGGUAGCUGAAACGCAAGUUUUUGGCGAAUCUCAAAAAAACAGUCUCAGUUCGGAUUGAAGUCUGCAACUCGACUUCAUGAAGUUGGAAUCGCUAGUAAUCGCGAAUCASCAUGUCGCGGUGAAUACGUUCUCGGGGUUUGUACACACCGCCCGUCA